UACCCACUCCUAGAUCGGGGAGGUAGUGACGAAAAAUAACAAUACCGGACUCUAUGAGGCUCGGUAAUUGAAAUGAGUACAGUUUAAAAGCCUUAACGAGGAUCUAUUGGAGAGCAAGUCUGGUGCCAGCAGCCGCGGUAAUUCCAGCUCCAAUAGCGUAUAUUAAAGUUGUUGCAGUUAAAAAGCUCGUAGUUGGAUCUCGGGUACUAGCAUUCGGUACGCUUAAUUGCUGUUACUGUUUGUCUAGUCCUAAUCAAUCGGUUGGCCAUUUAUGCCCUUUAUUGGGUGUUUUUGGUAGCCGAUACGUUUACUUUGAGAAAAUUAGAGUGCUUAAAGCAGGCUUUACGCCUGAAUAAUGUUGCAUGGAAUAAUAGAAUAGGACCUCGGUUCUAUUUUGUUGGCUUUGUAGAGCAUUGAGGUAAUGAUUAAUAGGGACAGACGGGGGCAUUCGUACUGCGGUGUUAGAGGUGAAAUUCUUGGAUCGCCGCAGGACGAACAACUGCGAAAGCAUUUGCCAAGAAUGUUUUCAUUAAUCAAGAACGAAAGUUGGAGGUUCGAAGACGAUUAGAUACCGUCCUAGUUCCAACCAUAAACGAUGCCAACUAGCGAUUAGCUGCUGUUAAUUAAACGACACAGCUAGCAGCUUCCGGGAAACCAAAGUUUUUGGGUUCCGGGGGAAGUAUGGUUGCAAAGCUGAAACUUAAAGGAAUUGACGGAAGGGCACCACCAGGAGUGGAGCCUGCGGCUUAAUUUGACCCAACACGGGAAAUCUCACCCGGCCCGGACACUGUAAGGAUUGACAGAUUGAGAGCUCUUUCUUGAUUCGGUGGGUGGUGGUGCAUGGCCGUUCUUAGUUGGUGGAGCGACUUGUCUGGUUAAUUCCGAUAACGAACGAGACUCUAGCCUGCUAAAUAGUACGCCGAUCUUUAGUCGGCGCGUACUUCUUAGAGGGACAAGUAGCGGUUAGCUACACGAAAUUGAGCAAUAACAGGUCUGUGAUGCCCUUAGAUGUUCGGGGCCGCACGCGCGCUACACUGAAGGGAUAAGCGUGUUCUUCCUGCUCCGAAAGGAGUGGGUAACCCGCUGAAACCCCUUCGUGAUUGGGAUCGGGGCUUGCAAUUAUUCUCCGUGAACGAGGAAUUCCCAGUAAGCGCGAGUCAUAAGCUCGCGUUGAUUACGUCCCUGCCCUUUGUACACACCGCCCGUCGCUACUACCGAUUGAAUGGUUUAGUGAGAUCCUCGGAUUUGUCCGGAAGUGGCCGCAAGGUUGCCUCUAGGUUCGGAGAAGACGAUCAAACUUGA
RNAcentral lists this ribosomal RNA (1302 nucleotides) under metagenome. RNAcentral describes it as "SSU rRNA". It matches the Rfam family "Eukaryotic small subunit ribosomal RNA", at positions 442 to 1768 of the family's 1831-position model. The record is from RNAcentral.